RNAcentral lists this ribosomal RNA (494 nucleotides) under uncultured bacterium. RNAcentral describes it as "partial 16S ribosomal RNA". It matches the Rfam family "Bacterial small subunit ribosomal RNA", at positions 28 to 507 of the family's 1533-position model. The record is from RNAcentral.
GACGAACGCUGGCGGCGCGCUUAACACAUGCAGGUCGAACGGAAAGGCCUGCUUUCCCUUGUGGAUUGCGGGUACUCGCGUGGCGAACGGGUGAGUAACACGUGAGUGAUCUGCCCCCAACUUGGGUAUAAGCCUGGGAAACUGGGUCUAAUUCCCGAUAGGACUGCAGGGUGGUGCCUGUGGUGGAAAACGAUUUUCUAGUGGUUGGGGAUGAGCUCGCGGCCUAUCAGCUUGUUGGUGGGGUAAUGGCCUACCAAGGCGGCGACGGGUAGCCGGCCUGGGAGGGUGGACGGCCACAUUGGGACUGAGAUACGGCCCAGACUCCUACGGGAGGCAGCAGUGGGGAAUAUGGCACAAUGGGCGGAAGCCUGAUGCAGCGACGCCGCGUGGGGGAUGACGGCCUUCGGGUUGUAAACUCCUUUCGACCGCGAGGAAGCCACCUGGUUGGAAGGGUGGUGACGGUAGUGGUAGAAGAAGCACCGGCUAACUACGUG